RNAcentral lists this ribosomal RNA (354 nucleotides) under uncultured bacterium. Its description in RNAcentral is "bacterial SSU rRNA". It matches the Rfam family "Bacterial small subunit ribosomal RNA", at positions 29 to 412 of the family's 1533-position model. The record is from RNAcentral.
AACGAACGCUGGCGGCAGGCCUAACACAUGCAAGUCGAACGCUGCAGCAAUGCAGAGUGGCAGACGGGUGAGUAACGCGUGGGAACCUUCCCAGUGGUACGGAAUAGCCCAGGGAAACUUGGGGUAAUACCGUAUAAGCCCCUAGGGGGAAAGAUUUAUCGCCAUUGGAUGGGCCCGCGUCGGAUUAGCUAGUUGGUGAGGUAACGGCUCACCAAGGCAACGAUCCGUAGCUGGUGAGAGAAUGACCAGCCACACUGGGACUGAGACACGGCCCAGACUCCUACGGGAGGCAGCAGUGGGGAAUCUUGGACAAUGGGCGCAAGCCUGAUCCAGCCAUGCCGCGUGAGUGACGAA